UACGUAGGGUGCAAGCGUUAAUCGGAAUUACUGGGCGUAAAGCGUGCGCAGGCGGCUUUGCAAGACAGAUGUGAAAUCCCCGGGCUUAACCUGGGAACUGCAUUUGUGACUGCAUGGCUGGAGUGCGGCAGAGGGGUAUGGAAUUCCGCGUGUAGCAGUGAAAUGCGUAGAUAUGCGGAGGAACACCGAUGGCGAAGGCAAUCCCCUGGGCCUGCACUGACGCUCAUGCACGAAAGCGUGGGGAGCAAACAGG
RNAcentral lists this ribosomal RNA (253 nucleotides) under uncultured bacterium. Its description in RNAcentral is "partial 16S ribosomal RNA". It matches the Rfam family "Bacterial small subunit ribosomal RNA", at positions 524 to 776 of the family's 1533-position model. The record is from RNAcentral.